Molecule: ribosomal RNA, 292 nt
Filed under: uncultured prokaryote
Description: partial 16S ribosomal RNA
Rfam family: Bacterial small subunit ribosomal RNA
Source: RNAcentral
GUGCCAGCAGCCGCGGUAAUACGGAGGAUGCGAGCGUUAUCCGGAUUUAUUGGGUUUAAAGGGUGCGUAGGCGGCCUGUUAAGUCAGCGGUGAAAUCUAGGGGCUUAACUCCUAAAUUGCCAUUGAUACUGGUGGGCUUGAGUGUAGAUGAGGUAGGCGGAAUGCGUGGUGUAGCGGUGGAAUGCAUAGAUAUCACGCAGAACUCCAAUUGCGAAGGCAGCUUACUAAGGUACAACUGACGCUGAAGCACGAAAGCGUGGGUAUCANACAGGAUUAGAUACCCUGGUAGUCC